AAACUUGUGGGUCGCGAGUGCAUGAUCAAAGUCUAAGUUGUUGCAUGAUAUGAUAUGGUACAACGGAGAUUGGUAUGAUCUUGUUCGAAGUGAAACUUGACGUCCGGAGUUUUAUUUUCAAAAAUCAUAAAAAAUAACAAAGUUCCUCAAUGAUGAUGAUAUGUCCUACCAAAGCCUUAUGAUGUUACAUUGCACAACCCGUACACAUAUGCUACUUGCUAUCACAUUGAACAUUGUCAAAUUGAUGUUACUGGAAGUUACGCAAAAACAUGACUUCCAUCCACAUAAAUAUAUUCCAUCC
Molecule: long non-coding RNA, 301 nt
Filed under: Setaria viridis
Lineage: Eukaryota; Viridiplantae; Streptophyta; Magnoliopsida; Poales; Poaceae
Description: long non-coding RNA (SVIR_LNC004899)
Source: RNAcentral